Molecule: long non-coding RNA, 717 nt
Filed under: Vigna radiata
Lineage: Eukaryota; Viridiplantae; Streptophyta; Magnoliopsida; Fabales; Fabaceae
Description: long non-coding RNA (VRAD_LNC007818)
Source: RNAcentral
AAGAGGGUUUGCGGUUGCUUAGAUUUGAGGAUCUUGGAGGCUUGGAGGAAGAUGUGAGUUGAGGCAUUUGAGGAGUGGUAUGAAGUUGAAAUUGAAGAUCUUGAGUGAUACAGAUAUCAGAGUGUGAUGAAUUUGGGAUGCAAAAGGUGAAAUUUUGUUCAAAGGUUUGCAUGGUAUAAUUGAAGUGAGGAGGGUUUGUGAAGUUGGAAAGGUGGAGAAUUGAAUUGGUUGAGUGGAAAAUGGAGAGUGAGGGUAUAUAAAUGUGAAAAAGGGGUAAGAAAGAUUGAAGGAAAUGAAGAAGUGGGUUGGUUUCGAAGAUGGUGGGAGGAAACAUCGUUUUGUUAAAACUAUCAAUAAUUGAGGUUAGAAGAAAUGUCACGUCUUAUGUUUAUUGUCGUUUUUGGAAUUUUCAAAUGUCAAAUUGACUUGUGUUGUUUUUUUUUGGGACCUUUUGUUCGAGAGAUGACCCUUCGAGGCUACUUCGUGAUCGUGGAUAUCAAGUAAAAAGGUUUAUUUAAUUUCAAGUUGAAUGUUAUAUGUAGCUGUGUGCUGUUUCCAAUGUGCAAAAAAGAAAUAUAAAUACGUCAUAUCUGAUUACGAUUGAGAAGAUUAUAGAAUGAAUAUGUUCAAUGUAUUCUUUCUAUUAAAUUCCUGAGUUGCUUAAUCGGACAGGAAGAAUUGGUGAGUAGAAUCAUGUUUACGAAACCAUUACCUAUG